RNA transcript from Sorghum bicolor (sorghum), 1093 nucleotides. RefSeq lists it as uncharacterized. NCBI's taxonomy places the organism in Eukaryota, Viridiplantae, Streptophyta, Magnoliopsida, Poales, Poaceae. The transcript has 5 exons. The record is from RefSeq and is a predicted model, not a curated record.
UCCCAAUGCGAAAUGUCGUCCGCUGCUUCCGCAUCUCCCUCCUCCUCCCAGCGCGGGCACCGUCGACCCUAGCUGUCCCGCUAAGCCGGACUCGGGCUGCCGGCCAUGCGCACGGCCCGUGCCUGGCGCGCGUCCGUGUGCCCCUCGCACCUACGAGGUUUCCCCCUUCUUCCCCACGGGAGCAGAGCAUGCGCUCGGCACUGCCGAUUUAGGGGCCAUCCCGGCGUCGUCGGAGGCCCCAGCAACCCUAUCGUCUCCCUCUUCUUGCCGGGCACCUUUCUCAUUGUCUCCAUGUCGGCCACCGCCAGACCUUAGACGAGACGACUCAACAUUGAGCCAGGGUGCGAGAUGCCGGAUCCAUCAGUCUGCGCCCGCCUUGAGCUGAGUCGUUCGUUCCUCCAUGCCUAGCCGCAAUUGAUGUUGGCAUGGAUUGCGUCGAUGAUGGCGAUGGCUAUGUGGCGUCGUUCUCGGCUGGAUAAACGCCGCCACGAUUUACAGGAGAAAUCCAUGGCGUCCGUACCUCGCUCUCUUGCAGCAAUGGACUACCACUCCCCUCCUCCAAGCAAUGAGGCAACCGCCAGAUUUGGCACUGAUCCAAGCUGUGAAGGAAAAGGGACGAAAAGAACACAGCGUUGCCAAGCAGUCGGCCCAUGACAAGGUUGUUAGCUCCAACUUCAAGGCCCAUCGUCAAGAAAUUACAGAAAAGGGGAUAUAAAAGCUACCUCGCGAUGAAAUUCCCUAAAUCUUGCAUACACAUAGGACAACCUACCGUGCUUCCCUAGGUCAAACCCUGGACAGCAAAAACACCCUCUUUGCCGGUAAAUUCCAACAACGGGGCCAGGUCAGGGUCUAUCACAUAUCUCAAGCGGCUAUUCAACAAGCAAGAACAUGGAAAUAGAAGACAGACUUGAAACAAAAGGGUUAAUAUAGCUAUUGCAUGCUUCAGUCAUUAUAUAGAGGAGUUCUAGCACUUGUGUAUCUCCAUGCGGUGCCCUUUGGUGUCCGUCGUAUAUACUGCAAUAUACACAAAAUCAGAUCCAUGAGAUGUUGACAUGUCUUCUUUGAUUAUCAUGAGUUCUUCUGAAUCGCUAUA